Molecule: ribosomal RNA, 496 nt
Filed under: uncultured bacterium
Lineage: Bacteria
Description: partial 16S ribosomal RNA
Rfam family: Bacterial small subunit ribosomal RNA
Source: RNAcentral
GACGAACGCUGGCGGCGUGCCUAAUACAUGCAAGUCGAGCGCUGAAGGGAGGUACUUGUACCAAUUGGAUGAGCAGCGAACGGGUGAGUAACGCGUGGGGAAUCUGCCUUUGAGCGGGGGACAACAUCUGGAAACGAAUGCUAAUACCGCAUAAAAACUUUAAACACAAGUUUUAAGAGUGAAAGAUGCAAUUGCAUCACUCAAAGAUGAUCCCGCGUUGUAUUAGCUAGUUGGUGAGGUAAAGGCCCACCAAGGCGAUGAUACAGAGCCGACCUGAGAGGUUGUCCGCCACCAUUGGACUGGGACCCCGCCCCAACCCCUUCGGGAGGCCGCCGUAGGGAAUCUUCGGCCAUUGGCGGAAGUCUUGCCGGGCAACGCCGCGUGGGUGAAGAAGGUUUUCGGAUCGUAAAACUCUGUUUGUAGGGAAGGACGAUGGUGAGAGUGGAAAGCGCAUCAAGUGACGGUAACUACCCAGAAAGGGACGGCUAACUACGUG